RNAcentral lists this ribosomal RNA (488 nucleotides) under Magallana ariakensis (Suminoe oyster). Its description in RNAcentral is "partial large subunit ribosomal RNA". It matches the Rfam family "Bacterial large subunit ribosomal RNA", at positions 1829 to 2597 of the family's 2925-position model. Lineage: Eukaryota; Metazoa; Mollusca; Bivalvia; Ostreida; Ostreidae. The record is from RNAcentral.
CACUAGAAGAGAAAGACUUUUAGCAAUACCUGCCCAGUGCGAAAUAUUACUGUAAACGGCCGCCCUAGCGUGAGGGUGCUAAGGUAGCGAAAUUCCUUGCCUUUUGAUUGUAGGCCUGCAUGAAUGGUUUAACGAGGGUUUAACUGUCUCUUGAUUUAAAAUUGAAAUUGUACUGAAGGUGAAGAUACCUUCAUUAAAAAGUCAGACAAAAAGACCCCGUGCAACUUUGAAAAUUAACUUUAUUCAGAAGUGAAAGAUUUUUAGGUGGGGCGCCUAGAAAGUAAAUCUAACCUUUCUGAACAUUUAGUUCUUUCCGGACUUGACCCGAUUAUAUUCGAUCAUAGGAGAAGUUACGCCGGGGAUAACAGGCUAAUCCUUUAGUAGAGCUCGUAUUGGCUAAAGGGAUUGGCACCUCGAUGUUGAAUCAGGGAUGAUAGCUUCAAGGCGUAGAGGCUUUGAGAGUAGGUCUGUUCGACCUUUAAUACCCU